GAGAGUGGCGCACGAGGUGCGUAACGCGUAUGCAAGUGCCUACCUUUAACAGGGGGAUAGCCCGUGAGAAAUUCUGGAUUAAUACCCCGUAGUAAUUAUUGGUGGCAUCACUGACUUAGUUUAAAGCUAAGGCGGUUAGAGAUGGGCAUGCAGUUCCAUUAGCUAGUUGGUGAGGUAACGGCUCACCAAGGCGACGAUGGAUAGGGGACCUGAGAGGGCGAUCCCACCACACUGGUACUGAGACACGGACCAGACUCCUACGGGAGGCAGCAGUAAGGAAUAUUGGGCAAUCAGGCCCAGGCAAGGCUGACCCAGCCAUGCCGCGUGCAGGAAGACGGCCUUAUGGGUUGUAAACUGCUUUUGUCAGGGAGUAAACCUUAUACUUGUAUACCCCAGGUUGAAAGUACAUCAAGAAUAAGCAUCGGCUAACUCCGUGCCAGCAGCCGCGAGUGAUCAUCACGGAGGACGCGUGGGUUAUCAGGGUUCAUUGGGUUUAAAGGGUGCGCAGGCGUGCUAAUAAGUCAGGGGUGACUUAAUUCCACGGCUCAACUAUACGGCUGGCUUUGAUACUGUUAGUCUUGAGUUUAGUUGAGGUGGGCGGAAUUUCGCAUGUAGCAAUGAAAUGCAAGACAAGCUACAGCAAAACCGAUAGCGAAGGCAGCUCACCAAAUUUCACAACUGACUUUCAUGCACGAAAGCGCGGGGAUUAAACCGGAUUAGACGCUCGCAUCCUCCACGCUGUAAAGGCUGCUGACUCGGUGUUGGCCGAUGCUCAGUCAGCGGCUAAGCGCAAGCUCAUAACUAGUACAACUGGGGAGUACCUGAUCGCAGCAGGUUAAAACCCAUAAGGAUUGACGGGGGCCCGCACAAGCGCUGGGGCAUGCGGCUAUUAUUCAAUAUUCCUCGAGGAUACCUUACCUGGGCUGGUACGCUCAAUGUUAGUGGGGGGAAUCUCAAGUCCCUUCGGGGCGUUGAGCGAGGUGCUGCAUGGUUGUCGUCAGCUCGUGCCGUGAGGUGUCGGGAUAAGUGCCCAUCUUUAACGAGCGCAACCCUAAACUAUCAUUAGUUGCCAAACUCAGUUAAAGCUGGGGACUCUAGUCCGAAACUGCCUACGCAAUCCCCCUGUAGAGAGGAAGGUGGGGUAUGACGUCACGCAAUCAGCACGGCCACUUACGUCCAGGACUACACACGUGCUACAAUGGCCGGUACAGAGGGCAGCCAGCCUGGUGACAGGGAGCGAAUCUCGAAAACCGGUCUCAGUUCGGAUCGAAGUCUGCAACCCGACUUCGUGAAGCUGGAAUCGCUGACGUCCGGGCCCAAUCAGCCCCUAAUGGCGCGGUGAAUACGUUCCCGCUGGCCUUGUACACACCGCCCGUCAAGCCAUGGGAGCCGGGGGUACCUGAAGUCGGUUGAACCGCAAAGGAGCCGCCUAGGGUAAACUUGGUCGACUGGGGCUAAGUCGGUUAACAAGGUAGCCGUA
Molecule: ribosomal RNA, 1480 nt
Filed under: uncultured Bacteroidota bacterium
Lineage: Bacteria; Pseudomonadati; Bacteroidota
Description: bacterial SSU rRNA
Rfam family: Bacterial small subunit ribosomal RNA
Source: RNAcentral